This is a long non-coding RNA of Quercus robur (English oak), 520 nucleotides long. RefSeq lists it as uncharacterized. Lineage: Eukaryota; Viridiplantae; Streptophyta; Magnoliopsida; Fagales; Fagaceae. The transcript has 2 exons. The record is from RefSeq and is a predicted model, not a curated record.
UGUGGGUUUGAAACGGAACCGUAGCAGACGAAUUACAUACAUGGAUAUGGCUGCGUGUGUAUAUAUGUAUAUUGUGAAGUUCAAGCAUCUCUUCCACAAGGCAAGAUGAGGUAUGAGGUGGUCAAAAGAAACAUUCUCCUUUGUUUUCUCGUACUCACCACCCUAUUUCUUGCAUGGAGCUUGUUUUUCACCGGUGAGAAGAUGGAGAAGUUAAUUUACGCAAGAGAAGGGGAAAAUUUGUAUGCACCUAUCAGUACUAUAAAACAAAACAAAGGUCGAGCUUUUGACUUGGCAAAGCUAAUGGCAUCAGUAGUUCCUGAACCACCACCACCGGCUCCUGCAGGGAACAUAGGGUCGCAACCCUAAUAGACUACGUUUUUUUUUUUAAAUAAAUUUUUUAUGAAUAAAUUCAUUAUAGAAAUUCCUUGUAUUUUAUGUCUAUGUCAUCUCAUAAUGUGAUGUAAAUGUCAUCGAUAGGCAAAUUACGAUCCCAAAAUAAUACAGUUUACUGUAAAUGUCA